AACGCAAAUUGCGCCUUCUUUCGGAAGGCAUGUCUGUUUGAGGGCACCAUUUAACAAAUAAUGUGCGGGUCGCUAUGUGACGUGCACACGUUGAUGAGCUUUUCCGAAAAAACCAGGUUUUUUCGGUGGCGCAUAAUGAACAGCGUGGGCUUUUUCUUUCGAUUCUCGUGUAGUAAGUAAAUUUUCGACGCUUGGGUUGAGAAAAAGUGCGUGCCGCGCAAUGGGUGUGGCGAAUAUAUACCCCUGCCCCAAUGCCACUCUUUCCCUGCGAAAGAACAUCUUUUAUUCAGGGCCUCAAAUCAGACAAGAGUACCCGCUGAACUUAA
Molecule: ribosomal RNA, 326 nt
Filed under: uncultured Paraglomus
Lineage: Eukaryota; Fungi; Glomeromycota; Glomeromycetes; Paraglomerales; Paraglomeraceae
Description: eukaryotic LSU rRNA
Source: RNAcentral